This 1620-nucleotide long non-coding RNA is filed under the name Salmo salar (Atlantic salmon). Its description in RNAcentral is "lncRNA (ENSSSAG00000119039.1)". Lineage: Eukaryota; Metazoa; Chordata; Actinopteri; Salmoniformes; Salmonidae. The record is from RNAcentral.
AUGGAAACAGGAUGCACCUGAGCUCAAUUUUGAGUGCCAUAGCAAAGGGUCUGAAUACUUAUUCUGCAGUCCAUGAGGACCUGCUGAUAUCCGGUGUUGCUGGCGGGAGAGACUGGACCUCUGAAGCGGCUGGUCACAAAACCUGGCCCCUGAUCAGAACCCUGGAUCAGGAGCCGUCACUGUUCCUUCCCGAGUCAGAACCAGCACUGAACCACGAGGGACAGAGACUCCACCACACCCACCACACAACGAAUGGACAGGUGGACUGAACAACCUCAGUCCUGGUGGUCAUCAGAGAGGCAGAGGCUCCAAUCAGGGAUCCAGUCUGCAGCCCAGACCCUUCUCUUCACAGUCUCAGUGCAGGGAUGAAGCAGGGCCUGGGGCUGAUAGAGAUAGACCCUCCUGUUCCUAUGAUACAAACACCACAGUAUCCGUGAUGAACAGAUCAGGUCGCCCUGGGCUUCAGCCUUCACAGAGUGUGGUGGGAGACCCCCCUGGUGGUAGUCUAUCAGGAAGCCUGUAUUUUCCUUCAGGGUCUCAUCUAAUGCCUGGUGACUGGGUUCAUAGAAGGCCUGGGACUGAACCUGAGUCUAGCGUUCCUCGAUUACCUCAGGGUUACCCCACCAAUACAGACAGGGUCAGGAUAGGUGUUCACCACAAGAAGUACUUAGCCUAUAACACAGCGCACAAUCCCAACAACACCCAAACAAUGGCAAGAGGUCAAGGAGGGAACUCAAAAGCUCCUGCUUCUACCUCCUCUGGUGUCAUUGGGUCACAACGUGGGAACCCGAAUAUUAGGGCAGACACCGACAAGCCGUACAGCUGCGCCACGUGUGGGAAGCACUUCACUCGGGCAAACUAUUUGAAGGAGCAUCAGACAGUUCACACCAAGGAGAGGCCCUUCAAGUGCAAACUAUGUUACAAGAGCUUCCCCUUCCGGAGUAACCUUAUCAGACAUAGGAGUGUCCACAAUGGGGAGAAAUUGUAGCAGUGUGGCUUGAGAUGUACACAGGGAUGUCAGGAAAUCAUUCUUUAGCUGACAUAGUUAUAUUGUGAAGUGUCUUGGGGUAAGAGGGUAAUUAACCACAUACCCCUCAUUAACCCUUUGUUAACUUGUAAUUUGAAACAGGCUUGUGUUUUUAGAGAGACAGUAAACGUAGGCUAAAACAAGGACAGUUGAAUAUUUAUGUUAUUGACGUGAUGUAGAUGGAAUAAAGUCGUUCUAUAAAUGUUACUCUUCUUGCUAACACACUGUUCAUUCUAAACAAGUCUGCUCUUUGCUUAAAAGAUACUGAUCAUGGCAGAUUUGACGUGUAUUGUAAGAAGCAGUACCGUAUUUCAAAGAACAGAGGGCAUACCUUUUUAGUUUAACCAGACCCUUUGAGCUUUGACGGCAACCAAUAAGAUCCUUUCUCUUCAGUGUUAACAGAAGUGGUGUGUCUUGAUUUGUCUAGUUCUCUCUGGCCUUUUCUCAUUUUGGCAAAAGUCCAUCCUCUGCAGUAGUGUAGGGUAUAUGCAGGUAUACACCUACACCCACUUAUUUUUCAGUGUGCAUUGCGUAUACUCACUUCUUAAUCCCCACAAUGCGUAUAAAAGUAAUGUAGUGGAGGUAUACGCUGC